AUUGCAAGAGCCAGGCACUUGAGGGAAGAAAAUAACAUAUUUUUCCAAAUUCCAAAAGCUUUUCUUUAAAUAUUCAGUACUACAGCUUGGAGGACUGAGUAUAAUUUUUUCCUAUAAAUUAAAAAGUUAGAAGAAUGUAGGAUACGACAAAUUCAAUUUCCUACCACACAGGAAGGCGAUCUCAAACUUUCUCAACGAGGACGUGGAGUUUGUGGGGAGAGGAGAGAGAGAGCAAGAUAAAGCAAAGGAGCCCGGGAGAAGAACACAAUAAAUUAUAUUCAAAUGGCAGCCAUGGAGGAAACUUUCCUUCCCUUCCUCAUCAACAAAGCUGAUCGAUGGGCGCUGAAGCCCCAGGGAAGCAGCAUCUGUUGUAACUCAAGGAUUCCUACUCGAGCUGAGGAUGAAAUUAACAGACGCAGAGCAGUUUGCAGCUCAGCAUUUGUUCAAGUCUGGCACAUGCACACAUCAUUAGCAACUAUAUUUGAGAACCAAGAUCAAGGAGGUGAGGAGGAGAGUGGAUCUGAUUGAAGGGAUAUUCAAGAAAGAGGAAAUUCAGAGCAUUUAGGUAAAGCUUCAUAGCUAAAAUAAAUGAACUGGAGAGCAGAGCAAAUAGCCAGGUACAUUUCGGAGUUGUCGACAGACAAUCUGGAUAAUUUUGCCUCUGCAACUUCCAAAACAAAGUCAUUGCAUGCAGUGAAUUCCCCAGAGUGGCUGCCUCUUUUACUUGGUUCUGUGGGCUGUCUCUCUAUUAAUGUGAAGGCUUCAUGAGGGCAAAGAUUUUGCUGUCCUGUUAGCUACUGUAAUCUGGGCUUACCGUAGAUAAAAUUAAAUAUUCAUGGAAUAAGUCAAUGUAUACUUGCUCAAAGCUUGCCUUGACCUGAGCUAAGCAGAUAAGGUCUGAGGUGUUCAGCAGGAAUCAAAAGUGAUAAGCAUACUGGAAGAAAGGUAUCAUCUAACUAAAACUGAUUAUUAAUUACGGCG
Molecule: long non-coding RNA, 981 nt
Filed under: Equus caballus (horse)
Lineage: Eukaryota; Metazoa; Chordata; Mammalia; Perissodactyla; Equidae
Description: lncRNA (ENSECAG00000048641.1)
Source: RNAcentral